Molecule: ribosomal RNA, 499 nt
Filed under: uncultured bacterium
Lineage: Bacteria
Description: partial 16S ribosomal RNA
Rfam family: Bacterial small subunit ribosomal RNA
Source: RNAcentral
AUUGAACGCUGGCGGCAUGCCUUACACAUGCAAGUCGAACGGUAACGGGUCCUUCGGGAUGCCGACGAGUGGCGAACGGGUGAGUAAUAUAUCGGAACGCGCCCAGUAGUGGGGGAUAACUGCUCGAAAGAGCAGCUAAUACCGCAUACGACCUGAGGGUGAAAGGGGGGGAUCGCAAGACCUCUCGCUAUUGGAGCGGCCGAUAUCAGAUUAGCUAGUUGGUGGGGUAAAGGCCUACCAAGGCAACGAUCUGUAGUUGGUCUGAGAGGACGACCAGCCGCACUGGGACUGAGACACGGCCCAGACUCCUACGGGAGGCAGCAGUGGGGAAUUUUGGACAAUGGGCGCAAGCCUGAUCCAGCAAUGCCGCGUGCAGGAAGAAGGCCUUCGGGUUGUAAACUGCUUUUGUCAGGGAAGAAAUCUUCUGGGCUAAUACCCCGGGAGGAUGACGGUACCUGAAGAAUAAGCACCGGCUAACUACGUGCCAGCCGCCGCGUAA